RNAcentral lists this long non-coding RNA (1168 nucleotides) under Fragaria vesca (wild strawberry). RNAcentral describes it as "long non-coding RNA (FVES_LNC004545)". The record is from RNAcentral. Lineage: Eukaryota; Viridiplantae; Streptophyta; Magnoliopsida; Rosales; Rosaceae.
UCAUUCUAAACACUUCAAGAAAUUAAGCUCGAUGUUCUUCACAUAUUCUUUUUCUUUAGUUCUUCUCUUCCUGGCCGUGCAAUAAUUUUUUUUUUCUUUUUCAAUUUUUCUUUUAUACUGCCAGGGAUUGCAAUCCAGCUUGAGUCCUCCCCCACACUUAUUCUUGUUCAUCAUCUUCGUAUCGCAUUGAUUUUGCAUAAAUUCCAUGUAUAGCUCUACUAGAUUCCAGAACAAGGGUAAGGAUAUAGUAUACAAAAGCUCAAGGUCAAGAUAAUAAGGGUGAUGACAAAAGGUCUAAAACAUAGGCUCAAUGGGGUUAAUCUAAGGGGUGUACAUCUUGUGUACACAAAUGGGGACAAAGGCUGAUUUGGCUUUGGUGGCAAUCCUAAGUGCCUCAAUCCCUUCCCCAAUCAAAGCAUGUCAUGACUAAAAGUUUUGAAAGGUGACAAAAGUGAGUUCUAGUAACCUCUUUAGUCCAUUAAACUUCUGCGGCAAGCAUUCAAUCAUGAAAGAAUAAUGGGAUUUAGCAACAAGCAUAUCAUUGAAAAUUAAGUAAUGAAUUUCAAAAUCUCUCCAAAGAAAGGCAUUAAGAUCAAUAAUCUCACAAAGGUUAUUUUGAAAUCACAAUCCAAAAUAGCAUGUUCAAAAAUUCUGUACCAAAGUCUCAAGCCAUAUCUACUACAAGUACGCAUGCAUCACAUAAGACUCGAUUAACCAAAGAAUGUUAUGCUCAUCAUCUCAAUUAAAUGAUCAUCUUUUAGCCAUGAUUUCAGAAGAUUAGUAUCAUCCUAGACUUGUGAAGGGCUUCUAUGACUCAAAAACCAAAAACAAAAACAAAAACAAUUUUUUUUUUUGUUUUAACAAAAACAAAACAAAACACAAAAUGUGUGCAGUCCCUUUCCCCACACUAAAACUAUGCAGCGUCCUCGAUGCAAGAACAAUAUAGAUCAUGCAAUGAUAACAGAUGUAUGGAGGAAAGUGAGCAAAACAAGAGACUAAGAAGAUAAAGUUCAGAAAAGCUCCCCCAUUUGGUGCUCUGAAGCCAAGUUCCAGCUCAUAUAAACAUCUUGUUGCAGCAUCCAAUGUCUGAGAUUCCAAUUGGAGAUGAAAUAUGGCAUUGUUAGCUUUAUGUGGAUAUGUGGCACGUUUCCUAACUCCAAAUGAAUUG